Molecule: transfer RNA, 69 nt
Filed under: Cavia porcellus (domestic guinea pig)
Lineage: Eukaryota; Metazoa; Chordata; Mammalia; Rodentia; Caviidae
Rfam family: tRNA
About the family: Transfer RNA (tRNA) molecules are approximately 80 nucleotides in length. Their secondary structure includes four short double-helical elements and three loops (D, anti-codon, and T loops).
Source: Rfam by way of RNAcentral
GGGGAAGUGGCUCGGUGGUAGAGUUCUUGCUUUGUAUGCAUAAGGCCCUGGGUUCAAUCCCCAGCCCCA